This is a non-coding RNA of Macaca mulatta (Rhesus monkey), 592 nucleotides long. NCBI's taxonomy places the organism in Eukaryota, Metazoa, Chordata, Mammalia, Primates, Cercopithecidae. The record is from RefSeq and is a predicted model, not a curated record.
UUUAAAACGACUGUUACUUGCAACUGUGCUGUUGGAGCAAGAGAAAACCUGGAAGAAUUCUGAAAUAGCUCUGCUAGUUCUCCUCAUUGCACAACAGUAUGACUGCUACAGAGACAGCAAACAGAGAAAGGGGAGAAUGGGUUGCAAUCAGGGCCCUGGAAGGAGAUUGAAAGAGUCUUACCUGAACAAACCGAAGUGCCUCAGAAGAAAAGACCAAUGCAUAAGGUCUUUUGUGGGGACCCGAGAAAAUGUCAGUACCCCACUUCAUUUCUCUAUGUGGCUCUCCUCCAUCCAUUCACACAGACCUUCCGUCAUCUUCAGAUUGCCUCACUUUUAAUUAAACAGAUCAACAGAUAGUUGAAGAAACUACCUUAAAACUUGAAAAUCAGAGAAGAAAGCACACAAACAGAUGAAGAAAUUGUCUUUGAGAACUAGAACUCAGGAGUAGAGAGGAGUGGAGCAAAGAAACCCACUUUUCAUUUAUAAGUCUUGUUGAAUUGUUUAACUUUUGAAUCUAUAUCCAUGUAUUUUUGUGAUUAUUAUAUGUACAUUUUUAAAGAAAGAAUGUUUCAGGAAUAAACAUUCAACUAUA